AAAAAUGUAUUUUAUAAAAUUAAUUGAUUAUAAGUUAUGUUCUUUAAAAUUAAAUAUUUUGGCGGUAUUUUAGUCUAUUCAGAGGAACCUGUUCUUUAAUUGAUAGUCCACGAUUGGAUUUACUUUUGUUAGAAAUUUUUAUAUCAUCGUUAUUAAAUAUUUUUUAAAAAUUUUAAUAUUUAAUUUAUUUUAUAAGAUUAAAAUUCAGAUCAAGGUGAAGUUUAUAUAAAAGUAGAAAUGGGUUACAUUAAAUUUAUUUUUAGUAAAAAAAAUUUAAUUUUUUUUUUAAAUUGGAUUUGAAAGUAAUUAAUUAAACAUUUUUUUAAUGAUUUAGCUCUAAAAUAUGU
RNAcentral lists this ribosomal RNA (347 nucleotides) under Halmus chalybeus. RNAcentral describes it as "partial 12S ribosomal RNA". The record is from RNAcentral. Lineage: Eukaryota; Metazoa; Arthropoda; Insecta; Coleoptera; Coccinellidae.